CAGUAGCCGCGGUAAAACGUAGGUGGCAAGCGUUGUCCGGAAUUAUUGGGCGUAAAGGGCUCGCAGGCGGUUUCUUAAGUCUGAUGUGGAAGCCCCCGGCUCAACCGGGGAGGGUCAUUGGAAACUGGGAAACUUGAGUGCAGAAGAGGAGAGUGGAAUUCCACGUGUAGCGGUGAAAUGCGUAGAGAUGUGGAGGAACACCAGUGGCGAAGGCGACUCUCUGGUCUGUAACUGACGCUGAGGAGCGAAAGCGUGGGGAGUGAACAGGAUUAGAUACCCCCGUAGUCCCUGUCUCUUAUAC
RNAcentral lists this ribosomal RNA (301 nucleotides) under uncultured bacterium. RNAcentral describes it as "partial 16S ribosomal RNA". It matches the Rfam family "Bacterial small subunit ribosomal RNA", at positions 509 to 807 of the family's 1533-position model. The record is from RNAcentral.